UGGGGGAAUAUUGCACAAUGGAGGAAACUCUGAUGCAGCGACGCCGCGUGAGUGAAGAAGUAAUUCGUUAUGUAAAGCUCUAUCAGCAGGGAAGAUAGUGACGGUACCUGACUAAGAAGCUCCGGCUAAAUACGUGCCAGCAGCCGCGGUAAUACGUAUGGAGCAAGCGUUAUCCGGAUUUACUGGGUGUAAAGGGUGCGUAGGCGGUCCGGUAAGUCAGCCGUGAAAAGCCCCCGCUCAACGGGGGUCGUGCGUUUGAUACUGUUGGACUGGAAUGCGGAUGCCGUGGGAGGAAUGUGUGGUGUAGCGGUGAAAUGCAUAGAUAUCACACAGAACACCGAUUGCGAAGGCAUCUCACGAAUCCGCAAUUGACGCUGAGGCACGAAAGCGCGGGUAUCGAACAGGAUUAGAUACCCUGGUAGU
This 423-nucleotide ribosomal RNA is filed under the name uncultured Lachnospiraceae bacterium. RNAcentral's name for it is "bacterial SSU rRNA". It matches the Rfam family "Bacterial small subunit ribosomal RNA", at positions 354 to 794 of the family's 1533-position model. Lineage: Bacteria; Bacillati; Bacillota; Clostridia; Lachnospirales; Lachnospiraceae. The record is from RNAcentral.